This 253-nucleotide ribosomal RNA is filed under the name uncultured bacterium. RNAcentral's name for it is "partial 16S ribosomal RNA". It matches the Rfam family "Bacterial small subunit ribosomal RNA", at positions 524 to 776 of the family's 1533-position model. The record is from RNAcentral.
UACGUAGGGUGCAAGCGUUGUCCGGAAUUAUUGGGCGUAAAGAGCUCGUAGGCGGUUCGUCGCGUCGGCUGUGAAAACCCGGGGCUUAACCCCGGGUCGGCAGUGGAUACGGGCAGGCUAGAGGUAGGUAGGGGAGAAUGGAAUUCCCGGUGUAGCGGUGAAAUGCGCAGAUAUCGGGAGGAACACCGGUGGCGAAGGCGGUUCUCUGGGCCUUACCUGACGCUGAGGAGCGAAAGCGUGGGGAGCGAACAGG